This 741-nucleotide ribosomal RNA is filed under the name Halomonas denitrificans. Its description in RNAcentral is "bacterial SSU rRNA". It matches the Rfam family "Bacterial small subunit ribosomal RNA", at positions 702 to 1497 of the family's 1533-position model. The record is from RNAcentral. Lineage: Bacteria; Pseudomonadati; Pseudomonadota; Gammaproteobacteria; Oceanospirillales; Halomonadaceae.
AGGAAUACCAGUGGCGAAGGCGGCCUUCUGGACUGACACUGACACUGAGGUGCGAAAGCGUGGGUAGCAAACAGGAUUAGAUACCCUGGUAGUCCACGCCGUAAACGAUGUCGACUAGCCGUUGGGGUCCUUGAGACCUUUGUGGCGCAGUUAACGCGAUAAGUCGACCGCCUGGGGAGUACGGCCGCAAGGUUAAAACUCAAAUGAAUUGACGGGGGCCCGCACAAGCGGUGGAGCAUGUGGUUUAAUUCGAUGCAACGCGAAGAACCUUACCUACCCUUGACAUCGAGAGAACUUUCCAGAGAUGGAUUGGUGCCUUCGGGAACUCUCARACAGGUGCUGCAUGGCUGUCGUCAGCUCGUGUUGUGAAAUGUUGGGUUAAGUCCCGUAACGAGCGCAACCCUUGUCCCUAUUUGCCAGCGAUUCGGUCGGGAACUCUAGGGAGACUGCCGGUGACAAACCGGAGGAAGGUGGGGACGACGUCAAGUCAUCAUGGCCCUUACGGGUAGGGCUACACACGUGCUACAAUGGUCGGUACAAUGGGUUGCGAAGCCGCGAGGUGGAGCUAAUCCCAUAAAGCCGGUCUCAGUCCGGAUCGGAGUCUGCAACUCGACUCCGUGAAGUCGGAAUCGCUAGUAAUYGUGAAUCAGAAUGUCACUGUGAAUACGUUCCCGGACAAUKUUCACCCUGCUACCCAUGAGUYUGAUCCUGGUUCCCUCAGAAACAAAGUCGUAACAAGGU